RNAcentral lists this ribosomal RNA (247 nucleotides) under uncultured bacterium. Its description in RNAcentral is "partial 16S ribosomal RNA". It matches the Rfam family "Bacterial small subunit ribosomal RNA", at positions 530 to 776 of the family's 1533-position model. The record is from RNAcentral.
GGGUGCAAGCGUUGUCCGGAUUCACUGGGUUUAAAGGGUGCGUAGGUGGGUUUGUAAGUCAGUGGUGAAAUCUCCAGGCUUAACCUGGAAACUGCCAUUGAUACUAUAGAUCUUGAAUUUUCUGGAGGUAAGCGGAAUAUGUCAUGUAGCGGUGAAAUGCUUAGAUAUGACAUAGAACACCAAUUGCGAAGGCAGCUUGCUAGAGGAAUAUUGACACUGAGGCACGAAAGCGUGGGGAUCAAACAGG